Molecule: ribosomal RNA, 258 nt
Filed under: Triticum aestivum (bread wheat)
Lineage: Eukaryota; Viridiplantae; Streptophyta; Magnoliopsida; Poales; Poaceae
Description: partial small subunit ribosomal RNA
Source: RNAcentral
AUGGCUGCGAGCGGCGUCGACCUCAUCGGCGCCCUCCCGGACGAGAUCCUCCACCACCUCCUCUCGUUCCUCCCGGCGCAGGAGUCCGUGCGGACGUGCGUGCUCGCCAGGCGCUGGCGCCACCUCUGGAGGCUCACCACGGGCAUGGGCAUCGUCGGCGUCGACCGCACAGGGUCCGUGAAGCAGCUCCUGCCGUCAUGCACCACCUCCUCGUCCUCCGUGAGCGCACGAGCCUGGACUAUUUUGAAAUCAAGUUGA